GUUUAUGUCCUUACGUUAUAGGACGGGUCAUUAUAAAUUAUGCCUUUCGAUUAUCGCAACGCCUCGUCGCGUUUGGUUAAGCACAUGGUGGAACAGUAUGCACAUCACUGUACCUAACGUACUGUACACCUGUGAGCGGCAUGACGAGACAAAAGACGGUAAAACUCAUUAUUAAUCGGUGAUGCUGUACAUUCUGGAUGAUGCACAGCCACAUUUUAUAAUACUGUUUUUUAUUUUCGUGUCGCGCCGCUCGCGUUCAAUAUAAAGUUAGACAAGACGCAAUUAAUUACUUAGAGAGUAGUGGUCUAAUGUUAAGAGUCGAACUUCACAAACCUUUCACUGCUUGCAGUAAGGCUAAAGUGCUACGUGAAUAAGAUGGGUGUAGUUUUGUGCUACUAGCUGUAAAGUGUUUUUGCACUAUUGAGUAAUAAAUACUGCCCAGUAAUACUUAACUAGAUGUAAAUCACAAUUCUUGUGUCAAUGUUUGUUUGUAAUCUUUUUCAGCUAUCCAUCUGAAAAAGAAAAGCUGGCACUCUCAAAGGAGAUUGUGUUGUUGGAUUAUGGUCUCAUUUGGUCAAAAAGAGGGACAUGUACCGUAAGGAUGCUUUUACAUACUUCAUUUAUGUUGGAUUUAUAAAAAUGAGAUUACAGAACAUCAGACGGUAGCUUCAACAGAGUUGAAGUGGGAGGACAUCAUCAAUAAAGAAUGCCAUUGACCAAACCUUCAGGCAUCAAAGAAGAUGGAUACAGGGGGACAUCAAGUUUUCCAGACUUACCGAUGGGAAAGAAGAAAUGGGAAUGUGACAAUUAUUGAGAAACUCAGGGAAAAAGCAUCUUUAGAGAAGAAAAUGGACAUCAGACAUUUAUUGAAGAAAGCUGACAGUCAACAUAAUGAUGAGAGCUGUGUUAUACAAUGUUAAGGAUACUCGUUCAUCUUCUGCUGUGUGAAUUCUGCUGUGUCAGUCCUGUGGGACUUGAUGCCGGCUGGUACCAGUGUGACGUCUUUGCUUACUAAAUGAUCAAAGGGUGUCUGAAAUCAGCUCAGCCACAGUUGGUUUCCAACGGUUCUUCAGGACAUGGAGGCCACUACGUAACUGUUGCAAUGAACGAUUCUUUUGCCUUUCCACCUGAUGUUGACAAUCUGACCUGUGCGGUACUGAAAGCAACUUAUAUCUUAAAAUAUAUCAGUGCCCUUUGUUUUGCCUCAAAAUGCACACCAGUAAUGUUUUUUGUUGAAACCAGUUAUAUUUCCUAAUUAAACUAAGGCCUAGUCCUGGAUUAAGCUAAUCCCCUGUGUGGGAAACCGCCCCUUAAUGUUUUGUGACGGAAAUUUCUUUGAAUACACUUGUCAAGUUCAUUUUAAGUAUUUUUCUAAAUGUAAGAUAACAUGUUAAUGUUUCAGGACAAGUUAAAUUUUUUUGAUACUUGCAUGUUGGAAACGAUUUCAGACAUUGUUCUAUUCAACAUGUUUAACACAGUUGCUUUUAAAUUCAAUUAAUUAUUUUAUAAAUAGUGUUUUAAAACGUAUCAAUGUAAUGUAUGUUUGAAGUAAUUAUACUUGCACUUACAUUUAUUUAAAUUAGCAUACAUCUAGCAACAUAAAGUGCUAGCAUAUUUUCAUGCA
Molecule: non-coding RNA, 1624 nt
Organism: Misgurnus anguillicaudatus (oriental weatherfish)
Lineage: Eukaryota; Metazoa; Chordata; Actinopteri; Cypriniformes; Cobitidae
Source: RefSeq, a predicted model, not a curated record